RNAcentral lists this ribosomal RNA (573 nucleotides) under Escherichia coli. RNAcentral's name for it is "partial 23S ribosomal RNA". It matches the Rfam family "Bacterial large subunit ribosomal RNA", at positions 2251 to 2823 of the family's 2925-position model. Lineage: Bacteria; Pseudomonadati; Pseudomonadota; Gammaproteobacteria; Enterobacterales; Enterobacteriaceae. The record is from RNAcentral.
ACAGUGUCUGGUGGGUAGUUUGACUGGGGCGGUCUCCUCCUAAAGAGUAACGGAGGAGCACGAAGGUUGGCUAAUCCUGGUCGGACAUCAGGAGGUUAGUGCAAUGGCAUAAGCCAGCUUGACUGCGAGCGUGACGGCGCGAGCAGGUGCGAAAGCAGGUCAUAGUGAUCCGGUGGUUCUGAAUGGAAGGGCCAUCGCUCAACGGAUAAAAGGUACUCCGGGGAUAACAGGCUGAUACCGCCCAAGAGUUCAUAUCGACGGCGGUGUUUGGCACCUCGAUGUCGGCUCAUCACAUCCUGGGGCUGAAGUAGGUCCCAAGGGUAUGGCUGUUCGCCAUUUAAAGUGGUACGCGAGCUGGGUUUAGAACGUCGUGAGACAGUUCGGUCCCUAUCUGCCGUGGGCGCUGGAGAACUGAGGGGGGCUGCUCCUAGUACGAGAGGACCGGAGUGGACGCAUCACUGGUGUUCGGGUUGUCAUGCCAAUGGCACUGCCCGGUAGCUAAAUGCGGAAGAGAUAAGUGCUGAAAGCAUCUAAGCACGAAACUUGCCCCGAGAUGAGUUCUCCCUGACUCCU